AUUGAACGCUGGCGACAGGCCUAACACAUGCAAGUCGAACGGUAACAGGAAGCAGCUUGCUGCUUUGCUGACGAGUGGCGGACGGGUGAGUAAUGUCUGGGAAACUGCCUGAUGGAGGGGGAUAACUACUGGAAACGGUAGCUAAUACCGCAUAACGUCGCAAGACCAAAGAGGGGGACCUUCGGGCCUCUUGCCAUCGGAUGUGCCCAGAUGGGAUUAGCUUGUUGGUGGGGUAACGGCUCACCAAGGCGACGAUCCCUAGCUGGUCUGAGAGGAUGACCAGCCACACUGGAACUGAGACACGGUCCAGACUCCUACGGGAGGCAGCAGUGGGGAAUAUUGCACAAUGGGCGCAAGCCUGAUGCAGCCAUGCCGCGUGUAUGAAGAAGGCCUUCGGGUUGUAAAGUACUUUCAGCGGGGAGGAAGGGAGUAAAGUUAAUACCUUUACUCAUUGACGUUACCCGCAGAAGAAGCACCGGCUAACUCCGUG
RNAcentral lists this ribosomal RNA (490 nucleotides) under uncultured bacterium. RNAcentral describes it as "partial 16S ribosomal RNA". It matches the Rfam family "Bacterial small subunit ribosomal RNA", at positions 30 to 507 of the family's 1533-position model. The record is from RNAcentral.